Molecule: ribosomal RNA, 217 nt
Filed under: uncultured bacterium
Lineage: Bacteria
Description: partial 16S ribosomal RNA
Rfam family: Bacterial small subunit ribosomal RNA
Source: RNAcentral
UAACUACCCAUCAGAGGGGGAUAACACUUGGAAACAGGUGCUAAUACCGCAUAACAGUUUAUGCCGCAUGGCAUAAGAGUGAAAGGCGCUUCGGGUGUCGCUGAUGGAUGGACCCGCGGUGCAUUAGCUAGUUGGUGAGGUAACGGCUCACCAAGGCCACGAUGCAUAGCCGACCUGAGAGGGUGAUCGGCCACACUGGGACUGAGACACGGCCCAG